GACGAACGCUGGCGGCGUGCUUAACACAUGCCAGUCGAACGGAAAGGCCCCGCUUUUGUGGGGUGCUCGAGUGGCGAACGGGUGAGUAACACGUGAGUAACCUGCCCUUGACUUUGGGAUAACUUCAGGAAACUGGGGCUAAUACCGGAUAGGAGCUCCUGCUGCAUGGUGGGGGGUGGAAAGUUUCGGCGGUUGGGGAUGGACUCGCGGCUUAUCAGCUUGUUGGUGGGGUAGUGGCUUACCAAGGCUUUGACGGGUAGCCGGCCUGAGAGGGUGACCGGCCACAUUGGGACUGAGAUACGGCCCAGACUCCUACGGGAGGCAGCAGUGGGGAAUAUUGCACAAUGGGCGGAAGCCUGAUGCAGCAACGCCGCGUGCGGGAUGACGGCCUUCGGGUUGUAAACCGCUUUCGCCUGUGACGAAGUGUGAGUGACGGUAAUGGGUAAAGAAGCACCGGCUAACUACGUG
RNAcentral lists this ribosomal RNA (468 nucleotides) under uncultured bacterium. Its description in RNAcentral is "partial 16S ribosomal RNA". It matches the Rfam family "Bacterial small subunit ribosomal RNA", at positions 28 to 507 of the family's 1533-position model. The record is from RNAcentral.